This 301-nucleotide ribosomal RNA is filed under the name uncultured bacterium. RNAcentral describes it as "partial 16S ribosomal RNA". It matches the Rfam family "Bacterial small subunit ribosomal RNA", at positions 509 to 807 of the family's 1533-position model. The record is from RNAcentral.
CAGCCGCCGCGGUAAUACGGAGGGUGCGAGCGUUAAUCGGAAUAACUGGGCGUAAAGGGCUCGCAGGCGGUUUCUUAAGUCUGAUGCGAAAGCCCCCGGCUCAACCGGGGAGGGUCAUUGGAAACUGGGAAACUUGAGUGCAGAAGAGGAGAGUGGAAUUCCACGUGUAGCGGUGAAAUGCGUAGAGAUGUGGAGGAACACCAGUGGCGAAGGCAGCUCACUGGCUCGAUACUGACGCUGAGGUGCGAAAGCGUGGGGAGCAAACAGGAUUAGAUACCCCGGUAGUCCCUGUCUCUUAUAC